This 1575-nucleotide long non-coding RNA is filed under the name Eutrema salsugineum. RNAcentral describes it as "long non-coding RNA (ESAL_LNC000251)". Lineage: Eukaryota; Viridiplantae; Streptophyta; Magnoliopsida; Brassicales; Brassicaceae. The record is from RNAcentral.
UAACUAAAAAUAAUAAAAAAUGAAAAUUUAUCUGAGAUUAGAAAAGGGUGUCGAGCACGUCUCGGCGACUCUCGAUAGAGCAACGCAUUUGAUGAAGUGCAGGGGACGGUUAAGACUCACAGAGCGAUGAUCGAAGCAUCCAUCUGGAGAACAAAGAUGUUUUAAGGGGUUCACUUAUUAGAUUUUGUGUAAAAGGAAUCGAGUUUGGAACUCGAAGCGUUGGAGCUAAAUCCAACUUUGCCUCCUUUAAGAUCAUUGAUGUUGAUGAAUCUAGGUUUAUGGAGGCGUUUCUGGUGCUUUGGUAGAGUGUGGUGGAGAGAGUUUGAAGAGGCUUAAAGCUAUUUGACUCAGGUUUCCAAUUACAGCUCAGGUUUGAUAUUCACUACAAUCUGACUAUAUGUGUUCUCUCGAUCUAUUAAAUUGUUAAAUCUCAAUUGUGUCAAGCGUUCAACAUGCAUUAGAGCUUUUUUUUCUGACAAGUACUACUAACAUUCUUAAUAAUUUAAGAGUGCUUGGGCUGAUGUGAAAUCUCUGAUUGAGAAGGAAGAGCAGGAGGUAUAAGGAGCCAUCUUGAGGUACUUAAUCAUCUUCAAUCAUCUAUUUCGCAAUCUUAUCAAUCUCUAUCAUGUCCUCCAACUAGAUUCUGGAUUUUGAGAGUUAGCUAUCUCUGCCUUUGAUUGGGUUUCAGAAAUCAUGUUCCUGAAUUUUAUUUGAUUAUUGGUUUUCGUGUCCAGAAUUCCUAAUUUUCGUUUUGAUCUUGUUUAGCAUUUGAAGCAUUCAACUCUUGUUUUGUAUUAAUUUGAGCCUAUUUUGCAACACCGAGCAUGUCUAUGUUAUGUUGUAGAAGAAUCUUAAUUUUGCUGCGUUAUAUGAAUUUGGCAACAGAGAGUUUUGAUGUGGUCAAAUAUUAUUUAGGAGGAUAGGAUAGGAUCACCAAUUUAAGCAUUUAUUAGGACCAAGUCUACUGCUUAAUUAUCUAUUGUGAUUUUACUUUUGUUUGUUCUUAACUACGACAAUUCUUUUGUAUGUGGGAAAUGAAAGGACUAGAUUAGGCUUAAAGCAGUUAAAGACGUAACUAACAGCUCUGCCGCAUUGGAUAACAAAAACUCUUUUAUAUGAAAAGCUUGCAAGGGGAGAGCUUUCAGAUGAACAAGCAGAAGAUAAGUACUAUAUGGAUUUCUCUAAUAUAAGUUAACACGUGAUUAUGGUCAGUUAAAUUACAUUGUUGUCUCUUUUUCUCCAUUAGUCAUAUGUUUGAUACAUAGCACAAAGAGGGAGAAAAUGAAGCAAGCUCAUCGUUAUAGAUUUUACUCUGCUCUUAUUAAGUGAAUUAACAUAUCUCUCUUGCUAAUCUUCUCUUUUGAAAUGAAAAAUCUUUGCUGAGAGGUUCAUGAAGAAGUGAAUCAAGCGACAGAAAAUGCAACAGAGUUGAAAUUUGAUGUUUACAUAGCUCAUGUUUUGCUUACUGUCUCUCCUUGUAUGAUCUAUCUAUGAAAAAUUAGGAUCAUUAACCACUUAUAAAAUUGAGGAAAGUUGUUUAUACUUUUAGGAAGGAUUUUCUGAAUAGCUUUUUCA